UAGUUAUUAUUAUUAUUAUUAUUAUUAUCAUUAUUGUGGUUGUUGUUAUUAUGGUUGUGUCUGCUGUCCUGUUUUUCCGUGUUGGUGUACUGUCAGGUGUUUAGGGGUGUGUGCUUGUGUAUGUGAGGGUGCGGUCGUGGCAGGCACUUUUAGGCCUGGUGGGUGUGGCCCUGCCAGCUGACCGGUCCCACCCAGGAAUCCACACACACCUGGCGCCGAUCAAGCCUCGUCAGAGGAGCUUCAAAACAGUGUGGCUGAGAGCUCCUCGACGCUGGAUCGUUGAGUGACUUCCCGAGGAAUUGUGGCGACCAGGAGGCAGCACACGGAGAGUACACAGGGAACGGAGACAGAGCACGGAGCACGGGAUAAAGGAGAAGACACGGAACGGGAGUUGGGAUCGCACGGGGGGAUUUAUUGUUGUUCGGAUUGUCACCACUGUAAAUAAACACUGUUGCACUGUA
Non-coding RNA from Maylandia zebra (zebra mbuna), 461 nucleotides. NCBI's taxonomy places the organism in Eukaryota, Metazoa, Chordata, Actinopteri, Cichliformes, Cichlidae. The record is from RefSeq and is a predicted model, not a curated record.